Molecule: long non-coding RNA, 685 nt
Filed under: Olea europaea subsp. europaea
Lineage: Eukaryota; Viridiplantae; Streptophyta; Magnoliopsida; Lamiales; Oleaceae
Source: RNAcentral
AAUAUUUAGCUAUCUUCAUCAAUUUAAAAUUGCAGAAAUAUUAACUAAUUCCUAAAGUCAUUGUCUUUUAAAUUUCGGUGAGUUACAUGAAUUAUACGUUAUCUUGAUGAUUACUUCUGCAACUUGGUUUGGUUCUUGAUUUCGCAAUCAACUUUUUUCCAACUUUGUAAUAAUGAUGUUUUGUUGCCUUUUACGACUUCCUCGCAUUUAUAGAAGAAAUAUUUGAAAUAGAUAAAAACAGCAAAACCCAAACGAUCUCUACGUCAGAUUACUGUCUAUCAAGGCAAAUAUUACUUGACAAAUUAACGAAUUUCCACUAAAUAACCAGACUGAAGCAAAAAGAAGUAAGUUUCACUUAUCAUUUUGAAGCAAAAGAAAGUUUGGUGCAGCCUCGUAAUUAAUUGUCUGCCAGUUAGCAACUUGAUAAAAGUGAGUGUGUAGCUUUCAGAAAAGUCACCUAACACUUCCCUUUUGCUUAAUUCCUAAAUCCUUCAAUCAAUUUCUAAAAAACUACAGUCUAGGGCUGCGAAAUAAGCAUAAUUGUGUAGUAAUAAAAGGUAAAAUUUAGAACAAUUAGUCAGCACAAACAAAAGAAUACGAGGGAAAAGGAUAACACGUUCAUGCACUAUACAAAGUCAUCAUUUAUUAUAUUUAAAUUAAUGUGAAGUAGUUCAACUAAAAUUAG